UCGCGAAAACUUGUCAAUGGGGGAAACCCCGAACAGGGGACGCCAAGUGCAUGCGUUUUACGUAUGCUUUUCGGCUGCCUAAAAAGCAGUCGGAAUAAGGGCUGGGUAAGACAGGUGCCAGCCGCCGCGGUAAUACCUGCAGCCCAAGUGGUAAUCGUUAUUAUUGAGCCUAAAGCGUCCGUAGCCGGUCUAGUAAAUCCUCGGGUAAAUCGAGCAGCUUAACUGUUCGAAUACCGGGGCGACUGCUAGACUUGGGACCGGGAGAGGUCAGAGGUACUUCAGGGGUAGGGGCUAAAUCCUGUAAUCCUUGAAGGACCACCAGUGGCGAAGGCGUCUGACUAGAACGGAUCCGACGGUAAGGGACGAAACCCUGGGUCGCAAACCGGAUUAGAUACCCGGGUAGUCCAGGGCGUAAACGCUGCAGGCUUGGUGUUGGGGACCCUACGAGGGUGCUCAGUGCCGGAGUGAAGAUGUUAAGCCUGCCGCUUGGGGAGUACGUCCGCAAGGAUGAAACUUAAAGGAAUUGGCGGGAGAGCACAGCAACGGGAGAGCGUGC
Molecule: ribosomal RNA, 556 nt
Filed under: uncultured Thermoplasmatales archaeon
Lineage: Archaea; Methanobacteriati; Thermoplasmatota; Thermoplasmata; Thermoplasmatales
Description: bacterial SSU rRNA
Rfam family: Archaeal small subunit ribosomal RNA
Source: RNAcentral